ACCUGACCAAUGCUUCACCUAGUCCUGUGUCCCACUUACUGGAACAGACCUCUGGUCCAUCUAGUCCAAUGACCCAUGGCUAAUACCAGAUGCUUCAGAGACAUGUGUGACCCCCACCCCAUCCAUAAAGAAGCUGCUAGUGCCAUCUGUUAUCAUAGCGGCAGGCCUGACACCAAGCAAUGACCAAGACAAGCCCUGGAGCCUGUGGAUUGAUAGCUUGUGUGUUUACCAUAGCUGGUGUUAUUGCAUGUUGUACUCUGAGCUACAUGUGUGCUUAAUUCAUUUUGGAUUUACCCAUGGUGCUAGGUCAAUCCCCUCACUCUAUAGAGCAAUUACAUAGGGCUAAAAAAAUAAAAUGAGAUGGGGUGUGUGUGUGUGUGGGGGGAAUAUUGCAGUGACUCACUCCUUGUGUCCUCACUGGGCUGAGAUGUAUUAUAACAUGAACACUCAUUGGGAGUCCUGUGACAGGAGAAAGGAAGAAGUAACAACUCUCUCAAGCCAUUCCUGAAGGGAGUAAGGAGGUUGCAGGGGGGGGAGGGACUCGUCCCUAGUACAUGUGGUUUUUGCAACUCUUCUGCCUCGCUCUGUAACUAGAGUAGUUCUUCGGAGAUGGGACCAGGCUCAUGGUGUUGGAGGUUGGGCUCAAUAUCACCUCCCCCAAAGUGGCCAUCUUUCCCCCAUCAAAGCAGGAGAUCAAAGAGAAGGGGAAGGCCACUCUAGUGUGCCUGGCCAGAGAUUUCUACCCCGACCACAUCAAGAUGGUCUGGCAGGUGAAUGAUGCUGACAGGGAAGAUGGGGUGAGGACAGAUGAGUUUUCCACUUGGGAUAACACAUCAAAAUCAUACUCGCUGACCAGCCGCCUGAGGAUCUCAACCCAAGAGUGGUUCAACUCCAAGAACAGUUUCCGGUGUGCUGUGAAGUUUCACCUGGAUGAGAUCCAGUAUGAAGUGAUCAGAGGUGGAGAUGGAUGUGGCAUCACUGAAGAAUCCUACAUGCGAUCUGGCAACUCUACAAAGCUCACCUACCUGGUGCUCUUGUGGAAAGCCAUGCUCUAUGCCUUGCUGGUGAGUGCUCUGGUGUGGAGAGUCAAGGCUAGUGACAAGCUGAGCAGAGAAUAGAUUGGAACUCAUCUCCAGCACCUCAGGAGGAGCACAGCUAAAUUUUUCUACUGCCCCAAAUCCUCCAGGGAGAAGGAUUUGCUUCUGCCUGCACUCUGCCAAUAUCCAUUCCGUGGAGGGGUUUGUGGGUAGAGUAGUUGCUCUUUAUCCAUCUCUUCAGUAGUCACUGAUGGCUCCCCCUACCACAGAGCUUUAAAAGCUAGAUAACUACUCAUAGUUAGGGACUGAGGGGUCUGCACUCUGAAGCCAUAAUAAAGUCUUCGUUUCUUUUCAUUUGAAAAA
Molecule: non-coding RNA, 1400 nt
Organism: Gopherus evgoodei (Goodes thornscrub tortoise)
Lineage: Eukaryota; Metazoa; Chordata; Testudines; Testudinidae
Source: the annotation of a RefSeq genome assembly